RNAcentral lists this long non-coding RNA (252 nucleotides) under Elaeis guineensis (African oil palm). RNAcentral's name for it is "long non-coding RNA (EGUI_LNC044883)". The record is from RNAcentral. Lineage: Eukaryota; Viridiplantae; Streptophyta; Magnoliopsida; Arecales; Arecaceae.
GGUCCUAUAUAUAUUAUUUUGUAAGAUAACCCCAAAGAAUCUCGGGGAUAUAACUUCUACCAUGCUAAAGAACAAGAGUUGUUCAGUAUUCUUUCAGAAAAGGAGUACCUUGGUGAAGGUACUGAUGCCUUUAAUGUAAAACUUAUGAAGUUCGACAGAUAAAAGAACCGACAUAAUCUGGUGAACCCAUAGAAUCAGAUUUGAUUAGAUCAAACGUAGAAUCUAUUGUGGAGGCACUAUUAAGAAGAUUCG